This 1946-nucleotide long non-coding RNA is filed under the name Numida meleagris (helmeted guineafowl). RNAcentral describes it as "lncRNA (ENSNMEG00000006491.1)". Lineage: Eukaryota; Metazoa; Chordata; Aves; Galliformes; Numididae. The record is from RNAcentral.
UCAAAUUGUUUGCUUGUAAUGCUGUGGUCAUUUCCUUAGGUCACCAAGAGAGGUCUAUAAUGGUCCUUCAUAACUCCAACCUCCUGUGUUGGACACCAUUAACUCAGAAUGAAACCCAUGGCUUCAAGUAGCCAAGCUUCAAAGGUUGCUGGGAGAUGCUCCUCUUUGGAAAUGUCUGGCAGAAAGCUCAGUGUUUAAGUUCCUGGAAAGGACUUUCCACUUGUCUGGAGCUUACUGACUUCGAUGUAUCUGGAUUGUUCUUUUCUACUUACCAGUUCAUCAGCAAGGUAAGUCUUUAUCAUUCUUUUCUAAGACUCCUCAGUGUGCCUUGAUUUCUGUUUCCAAGAGGUUAUAAAUACAAGUAAAAGUCAGUCAAAAUGUUUAGUCCUUUCAUAUGGAACUUCUGUUUCUAUACAAAUGAAUGGAAAAAAAAAACAGCUGUGAUUCUAUUAUUUAUUAACUAGUCAUUGUUAUGUUCUUCAGGAAAAAAACCACUACAUUCCAAAUUUACGUUAAAGUUAAGAACUGGCUACGUAAAUUUGCAAGGCACUGAACUUCUCAGGUAAUUUUAUUUUUAAUUAUUUUUACUUUACAUGAACUCAAGAUAUAAUCCAAAAUUGAUUUAAAUCUUUGGAGUAGUUUCUUGGGUCAAGCAGUGGGACAAAAUGGAGACUAAUGAGAUUAGUCAAUGUAUGUUAUUUGCUGUGGAAUUCUACUGCUAUGCUAUUCAGUUCUCCUGGACUAGUCCUGUAAAUACUAAACAAAUAAUGUAGACCUAUCAGUGAACUUCCGUUCACUCUGGCUACUAUGUGUUUAGCCCUACCAGCACAGACUUGUGCAUUCUCAACUGGUUUCCUCUGUGAAGAGCUCUAUGUGCUGUUUUGUAAGUAAGAUAUAUUGUGUGUAAAGUCUAAGUAGCCCAUGUCAACUGACAGAUGCAGAGGAACACUACUAUAAACCCUUGGCUGGACAAUACUGAAACAAAUGUUAUUUUAGUAGUUAAAGAAGUGAAGCUGACUUCUCCUUAAUCACAUUUCAGUUAUGAUUGAAGAGACUUGACUGACUUGGACCAAGCUGAUUUGGGCCAUACGCAGAUUUUGGAAAUUCAAUUACUUUCUUCAUCUGCUGCCAACAGCAGUCAAAUGUGGCUAGUAAAUGCAAGAUGGUCCACAUUGAUUCAGCUGUUGCAUUUGAGAUGUUCUUAAGUCCUGAGUGGGAUGGAAACAGCAGUGUGUUGAAGGGGCAUUGAAACCAGUGCCAAACCAUAACCAUCCUCUCCACUAAUUUACCACAAAGAUGACUGAUAGAUUAUCUUAUCUUAUUUCUGUCUUUUACAGAGUAAUCGUGGGGAGCACAUUUGACUCUGAUAUAACCCAUUUGGUCUUAAGCCUUGGACUCUGUACAAGAAUAAGUUAUUUUGAUUGUGUGAAACAAUAUAGAGAUACAGUUGUGUAUCCCAUAUCCAUUUGACUGCACUUACAUGCCUGAUUGAGACAGACAGUACACGAGGACUACAGGGGAAACUGUGCCCUCGAAUGUGUCUGAGUAGCAGGUAGAAGAAAAAGAUGACACUCGUGAUUCAUAGGGAGAGACAGUCUCACAGCUUCAUCUCUCAGAACAGUGACCUUGACUGAGUGACUGAGCCUGCUACUUCAUUCUUUCAUUCCUGAUACUUUAAUUCCUGAUUUCUUGGUGGUCCAACCUUGUUAGGAGAAGCAUGUUCCCAUAAAACACUUCUCUAAGAAUUAGUAGCUAUCAUUUCAGCUCUGCCCGUCUUCCCUCCGUGCCAAAAGAAGAGAAUGCAUAGCAAGUUCUCUGCAGGUGCUGUGUUUGUUCUUUAAUGUCAGCAUCACAUCUCCAGUUGCUUUUAUAUUUUGAUCUGAACCUAGCAAAGAGCUAAGUGUGAAUGAAAUAAAUUAAACAAACUAAAGAUCUCUGACCUUUCC